Gossypium raimondii (Peruvian cotton) is the source of this 96-nucleotide non-coding RNA. Lineage: Eukaryota; Viridiplantae; Streptophyta; Magnoliopsida; Malvales; Malvaceae. The record is from Rfam.
AGGAGCCGUAUGAAGUGAAAAUCUCAUGUACAGUUCUGUAAAGUGGCAGUAAAGGUGAAUUUUCAAGUUUAAAACAACAUACUUUCAAAUUUUCAU